AACGCACCUUGCGCUCCUUGGCAUUCCGAGGAGCAUGCCUGUUUGAGUGUCGUUGAAUUCUCAUAACCCUACCCGACUGUCGGGCAGGGGUUGUGGAUUGGUGGAGGUCUUGCAGGUCGGUCGAGGUGUGACCACUCUGCUCCUCUGAAAUGCAUUUGGCAGAAUCGCCCAUGGUCACGCACGCACCUGUCAUCGGUAUGAUACGUCUUACCUGCUUGUCAAAUGCGCGCUGUGCAAUCUCUCUCAUGAUUUGACCUCAAAUCAGGCAGGACUACCCGCUGAACUUAA
Molecule: unclassified non-coding RNA, 288 nt
Filed under: uncultured Agaricomycetes
Lineage: Eukaryota; Fungi; Basidiomycota; Agaricomycetes
Description: sequence contains ITS2
Source: RNAcentral